UGAUUUCUGGGUUGUACGUUAAGACUGUAUAAUUCAACCUACAUUAUAACGCAGGGAGCCCGUAUAUCCGGUGCCUAUGUCAGGCCUCCCAAGAGGGGAAGACAGAAGCACGGACGAGAGCACCCACCUUAGGAAACUAGGGCGUGAAUUGACGGUCUGACGGCAAGCCGGAAUAGA
Molecule: non-coding RNA, 177 nt
Filed under: Clostridiales bacterium
Lineage: Bacteria; Bacillati; Bacillota; Clostridia; Eubacteriales
Description: 6S RNA
Rfam family: 6S / SsrS RNA
About the family: E. coli 6S RNA was the first non coding RNA to be sequenced, but its function was unknown until recently. It consists of 184 nucleotides that fold into an extended hairpin structure with a large single-stranded internal bulge.
Source: RNAcentral